AUGAAAAUUGAGAUUUAACACUAGUUCAAGAGGUGCUAAACAUAGGGAGUACACUCACGAAAGUAGAGGUGCACUUAUGUGGUUUUUAGUGAUUCAUUUCAUGUAAUUUCAUUGAAGAAAUGAACUUGUAGCUAAUUUCAUAACCAUGAAAAUAGGUAUGGAUUAGUUAUGAGUAUAGUUGAUUCACUACGAAAGUAGGUUUCACAUGUUUAAGGAAAUUACACCAUAACUAGCCUAGAUGUAGUAAUUAAUGAUCCAAAUAUAGCACUUGCAUGAGUAGUUAGGGAUGCCACAACCUAAGGAGCUUUUAUUUGCUAUUUUCUUGUAUAAUUUCAAUAGGUUUUAAUUUGCUAUAAUUCGUUGAUAGUCUAAAUAAUAGAGAAAC
Molecule: long non-coding RNA, 385 nt
Filed under: Coffea arabica (coffee)
Lineage: Eukaryota; Viridiplantae; Streptophyta; Magnoliopsida; Gentianales; Rubiaceae
Description: long non-coding RNA (CARA_LNC008182)
Source: RNAcentral